GCAUCGUGUCGUGACUCUCAGGGUUGGUCUUUCUGUCACAUGGAGAAAGAUAUUAACAGCGUUGGGGACGCUUGAAGCAGGCCUCCAUCACCACCUGCCACCCCGAAGCGCUGACUCAACACCCUGCUGGGAUACAUGUGGUCAGACCUACCUACAGGGAUGGAUUCGUGGUGGUAGAAUGGACCUCCACCAUCCACAAGCAUGAAGCUACCAACAUGAGUUCAAUAUUCCACUUUAACCAGAACUUUAAUCAAGCUUUAAUGGUUUCUACAGGCCAAAUCACCAAAUCCUUACCCUGAUACUGCUGAGCGAAGGCCUAACUCUGCUGCUUCAAUCUAUAGCAGACACCUCUGGCACAAACAAAGACACAUAUACAGACACUCACCUCUCCUCUGCAGAAA
Long non-coding RNA from Girardinichthys multiradiatus, 401 nucleotides. RefSeq lists it as uncharacterized. NCBI's taxonomy places the organism in Eukaryota, Metazoa, Chordata, Actinopteri, Cyprinodontiformes, Goodeidae. The transcript has 3 exons. The record is from RefSeq and is a predicted model, not a curated record.